CGUCUGCCCUCAAUUCUAAAAAUAGAAUUGAGAUGAUUAAUUAGAUAUCACCUGUGAAAUUUAAUCGUUUAUACAAGGAUUGCAAAGCAUGUAAACAACAGAACUUCCAAUGUGUUGAAUGAUGCUUCCUAUCCUUGCUCCUUGAUUCAAGAUGAAUCAAGACCUUCGAUCGUUGUUGCUAGACCUCCGAUUCCAGCCCCUUUGUUGAAGAAUCUUCCGUUCUUCAAACCCUCGGCCCGACUGAUCUCAAACACAACGAGUCGAACCCGAAUCCUU
RNAcentral lists this long non-coding RNA (276 nucleotides) under Lathyrus oleraceus (garden pea). RNAcentral describes it as "Pisum sativum (pea) long non-coding RNA (PSAT_LNC033098)". The record is from RNAcentral. Lineage: Eukaryota; Viridiplantae; Streptophyta; Magnoliopsida; Fabales; Fabaceae.